UACAGGGGGUGCAAACGUUGCUCGGAAUCAUUGGGCGUAAAGCGCACGUAGGCGGUUCGUUAAGUCGGAUGUGAAAGCCCUCGGCUCAACUGAGGAAGUGCACCCGAAACUGGCGAGCUUGAGUACGAAAGAGGAUCGCGGAAUUCCCGGUGUAGAGGUGAAAUUCGUAGAUAUCGGGAGGAACACCGGUGGCGAAGGCGGCGAUCUGGGUCGAUACUGACGCUGAGGUGCGAAAGCGUGGGGAGCAACAGG
RNAcentral lists this ribosomal RNA (252 nucleotides) under uncultured bacterium. RNAcentral's name for it is "partial 16S ribosomal RNA". It matches the Rfam family "Bacterial small subunit ribosomal RNA", at positions 524 to 775 of the family's 1533-position model. The record is from RNAcentral.